CGGGUGAGUAACACGUGGGUAACCUGCCCCGAUGAUUGGGACAACCCGAGGAAACUCGGGCUAAUACCAGAUGUGCCCUCCGGCCUCAAGGCCGCUGGGGAAAGGAAGCUUCGGCCUCCGCAUCGGGAUGGGCCCGCGGCCCAUUAGCUUGUUGGUGAGGUAACGGCUCACCAAGGCAACGAUGGGUAGCUGGUCUGAGAGGACGAUCAGCCACACUGGGACUGAGACACGGCCCAG
RNAcentral lists this ribosomal RNA (237 nucleotides) under uncultured bacterium. RNAcentral's name for it is "partial 16S ribosomal RNA". It matches the Rfam family "Bacterial small subunit ribosomal RNA", at positions 103 to 334 of the family's 1533-position model. The record is from RNAcentral.